GAGGCUCUGAGGUGUCCCCUCCUCUGCAGGACGUGGCCCCAGGGCGGGCGGAGGGCAGAGCUGCAGGUGGCAGAGGCCGAGCCGUGGCUCCAGCAGGUUUUCAGUUUAGCUUUAGUAGGAGAAACUUGUGCCUAACAACAACACUGCAAUGUGGCCAAGUCUUCAGAGAUUUUUCCAUUUUGCCAAUAAGUCUUCCCUGAAAAGCCAACCUCAGAUUCCAUUCUGGGCUUUCUCGUUUUCAAGGCCUCACUCCAUGUAAGCCAUGAAAACUAAUGUUUGGACACAGCA
Ficedula albicollis (Collared flycatcher) is the source of this 288-nucleotide long non-coding RNA. RefSeq lists it as uncharacterized. The record is from RefSeq and is a predicted model, not a curated record. The transcript has 3 exons. NCBI's taxonomy places the organism in Eukaryota, Metazoa, Chordata, Aves, Passeriformes, Muscicapidae.